RNAcentral lists this ribosomal RNA (465 nucleotides) under uncultured bacterium. Its description in RNAcentral is "partial 16S ribosomal RNA". It matches the Rfam family "Bacterial small subunit ribosomal RNA", at positions 28 to 507 of the family's 1533-position model. The record is from RNAcentral.
GACGAACGCUGGCGGCGUGCUUAACACAUGCAAGUCGAACGGAAAGGCCCCUUCGGGGGUACUCGAGUGGCGAACAGGUGAGUAACACGUGAGUAACCUGCCCUUGACUUCGGGAUAACUUCAGGAAACUGGGGCUAAUACCGGAUAGGAAUCCUUGCUGCAUGGUGGGGGUUGGAAAGCUUCGGCGGUUUUGGAUGGACUCGCGGCUUAUCAGCUUGUUGGUGGGGUAGUGGCUUACCAAGGCUUUGACGGGUAGCCGGCCUGAGAGGGCGACCGGCCACACUGGGACUGAGAUACGGCCCAGACUCCGACGGGAGGCAGCAGUGGGGAAGAUUGCACAAUGGGCGGAAGCCUGAUGCAGCAACGCCGCGUGCGGGAUGACGGCCUUCGGGUUGUAAACCGCUUUCAGCAGGGGCGAAGCUUGUGGUGACGGUACCUGCAGAAGAAGCACCGGCUAACUACGUG